Non-coding RNA from Dipodomys ordii (Ord's kangaroo rat), 71 nucleotides. The record is from Rfam. Lineage: Eukaryota; Metazoa; Chordata; Mammalia; Rodentia; Heteromyidae.
GAGAAGGUGGCUCAGUGGUAGAGUGCUUGCCUUGCAUGCAUGAGGCCCUGGUUCAAUUCCUCAGCACCUCA